Molecule: ribosomal RNA, 253 nt
Filed under: uncultured bacterium
Lineage: Bacteria
Description: partial 16S ribosomal RNA
Rfam family: Bacterial small subunit ribosomal RNA
Source: RNAcentral
UACGGGGGGGGCAAGCGUUGUUCGGAAUUACUGGGCGUAAAGGGUUCGUAGGUGGCUCGCUAAGUCAGACGUGAAAUCCCUCAGCUUAACUGGGGAACUGCGUCUGAGACUGGCGGGCUUGAGUGCAGGAGAGGAACGCGGAAUUCCAGGUGUAGCGGUGAAAUGCGUAGAUAUCUGGAGGAACACCGGUGGCGAAGGCGGCGUUCUGGACUGCAACUGACACUGAUGAACGAAAGCCAGGGGAGCAAACGGG